Molecule: ribosomal RNA, 432 nt
Filed under: uncultured bacterium
Lineage: Bacteria
Description: partial 16S ribosomal RNA
Rfam family: Bacterial small subunit ribosomal RNA
Source: RNAcentral
AACGAACGCUGGCGGCAUGCCUAACACAUGCCAGUCGAACGAGACCUUCGGGUCUAGUGGCGCACGGGUGCGUAACGCGUGGGAACCUGCCCUUAGGUUCGGAAUAACUCCCCGAAAGGGGUGCUAAUACCGGAUAAUGUCUUCGGACCAAAGAUUUAUCGCCUUUGGAUGGGCCCGCGUUGGAUUAGCUAGUUGGUAGGGUAAAAGCCUACCAAGGCGACGAUCCAUAGCUGGUCUGAGAGGAUGAUCAGCCACACUGGGACUGAGACACGGCCCAGACUCCUACGGAGGCAGCAGUGGGGAAUAUUGGACAAUGGGCGAAAGCCUGAUCCAGCAAUGCCGCGUGAGUGAUGAAGGCCUUAGGGUUGUAAAGCUCUUUUACCCGGGAUGAUAAUGACAGUACCGGGAGAAUAAGCUCCGGCUAACUCCGUG